Long non-coding RNA from Equus caballus (horse), 930 nucleotides. RefSeq lists it as uncharacterized. The record is from RefSeq and is a predicted model, not a curated record. NCBI's taxonomy places the organism in Eukaryota, Metazoa, Chordata, Mammalia, Perissodactyla, Equidae.
UGGGGAUUGUUCUGCCACAUCGUGCUGCUUAAGUCUGGGAGCCAGGGUGGGAGGUACUGGGUUACAAGAAGGGAACAGGUGUGAGGGGUGACAACAUACUCAUUCAGCUUUGGACUCGUGCCUGUGGGGGUCCUGUAGGAGAUCUUGCGGACCUGUGCAGUGGGCCGUCGGAAAGGCAAGCCUGACCCUUUCAAGAGAGGUCAGGCCUGGAGACCAAGGGCACUGAAAGAGAACACAGGGCUGAUUCCUUGACCUUUUGCAGUUCAUAGUCUAGUGAGGAAUACGAAUAAUUACAAAGGAAAGACUCUUUUACAGCCCUCAGCACUGUUAUUGCGUGAACUGGCUCAGCAUGGCCGGCCCAGUGAAGGACGCCAGUGGUAGUAACCGGGGAAGAGGGAUCCCCUGGCUCUUCUUACCAAACUUCUUCGAUCGUUUGGAGUGGUUUGGCCAUCAGUUAGUCAGGAAGAGGCCAGAAGGACACGUGCUGAUAAUGCUUCAAGAAAGUUAAACUUUAGGAAAAACUCGACCGAAGUAAAAAUAGCUAUGUAGUCAGUGACCAAAGCUACUUGGAUGGUCCUGUUGAUUGCUCUUGUGCAUUUUAUCACACGAAUACAGGCUUUCCCCUAAAAGUUGAAAAUAAAGAAGGGAAAUGUGAUGAAUGGCAUAUAUUACCUCCAGAGAGCCUAAACUCUCAUGCAUUAAAAGUUAGUAUCUGCCAGGGAUCGUCCUCAAUAUUUAUGACCCACUCUGGCAUUAAGAGUGUGACACGCAGAAGGCCGUCUUCAUUAGAGGCUGGCUAAAUAACUAUUGGAAGCUUGUUACCUGGUGCUUAUCAGAGCACACUUCGUGAAAUAGUUAUGUACACUCUUGUUCCUCCUCCCCUGACUAGACUGCACACUCACGGGCUGGGUCUGGCACAGAGGCUGCCCU